GACAAACCAACUAAAAAAAUGCUCUCAAACACUAAACAAUGGCACAUCCAAGAAGGAGAUGAUGGCAGCUCAGGAUGCACCUCACCUAGCUCAGGAUGCACCUCACCUACGUAGUAAUGCAAUCACCUAUGUAGUAAUGCAGUCUUGAGUUCAACAUUACAGUGAGGAGAAAUCUCCCUAAAAUUGAAGAGCAGAGCAAUCCAAAAAGGCAAAUCUAAAAGAGUCCCUCCCAUAUAUACUCAAGACCUGCAGAAUAAGAAAAAACAAAAGAAAACCACCAACAAGGGAGAACCAAGCGGGCAGACGGCGUCAAGCAGAGACAAAAAUCGACGGUUCCACUAUCCCGAAGCGCAAAGACCUCAACCAAAGCCAAGAGCCACCAAUAGUAACCUUUCCUCAAAAGCAGAUGAUACUUUGCAACUUCUAAAGGAGAACGCACAUCUUGUACAUUGAUCUACUGUGAACUCACCUCUCUCUUUCCUUCACCCUUUCUUUUGCCCUUUCUUUUUCUCUCUCUCAUCUCUCACCAGUGCAGUAUUUGACAUUUGAAAACAUUAUAUAUUGUAAAAAAUAUCAUUCUUU
RNAcentral lists this long non-coding RNA (582 nucleotides) under Manihot esculenta (cassava). RNAcentral's name for it is "long non-coding RNA (MESC_LNC006050)". The record is from RNAcentral. Lineage: Eukaryota; Viridiplantae; Streptophyta; Magnoliopsida; Malpighiales; Euphorbiaceae.